GGUGCCAGCCGCCGCGGUAACACCGGCGGCUCGAGUGGUAACCGUUAUUAUUGGGGUCUAAAGGGUCUGUAGCCGGCCGGAUAAGUCUCUUGAGAAAUCUGGCAGCUUAACUGUCAGGCUUUCAGGAGAUACUGUCUGGCUCGAGGCCGGGAGAGGUGAGAGGUACUUCAGGGGUAGGGGUGAAAUCUUGUAAUCCUUGGGGGACCACCUGUGGCGAAGGCGCCUCACCAGAACGGCUCCGACAGUGAGGGACGAAAGCUGGGGGAGCAAACCGGAUUAGAUACCCGGGUAGUCCCAGCCGUAAACGAUGCACGUUAGGUGUAUCGAUGACCACGAGUCAUCGAGGUGCCGAAGGGAAACCGUGAAACGUGCCGCCUGGGAAGUACGGUCGCAAGGCUGAAACUUAAAGGAAUUGGCGGGGGAGCACCACAACAGGUGGAGCCUGCGGUUUAAUCGGACUCAACGCCGGAAAUCUCACCGGAUAAGACAGCUGAAUGAUAGCCGGGCUGAAGACUCUGCUUGACUAGCUGAGAAGAAA
RNAcentral lists this ribosomal RNA (538 nucleotides) under uncultured archaeon. RNAcentral's name for it is "bacterial SSU rRNA". It matches the Rfam family "Archaeal small subunit ribosomal RNA", at positions 454 to 990 of the family's 1478-position model. The record is from RNAcentral.